Molecule: unclassified non-coding RNA, 21 nt
Filed under: Mus musculus (house mouse)
Lineage: Eukaryota; Metazoa; Chordata; Mammalia; Rodentia; Muridae
Description: oocyte_clustered_small_RNA9073
Source: RNAcentral
AGCCGAGCGCUUGGGAGGCGU